GCUGGGCAUGGUGGUGCAUGCCUGUAAUCCCAGCUACUCGGGAGGCUGAGGCAGGAGAAUUGCUUGAACCCAGGGGACGGAGGGUGCAGUGAGCCGAGAUCGUGCCAUUGCACUCCAGCCUGGGUGACAGAGCAAGACUUUGUCUCAA
Unclassified non-coding RNA from Macaca mulatta (Rhesus monkey), 148 nucleotides. It matches the Rfam family "Metazoan signal recognition particle RNA". Rfam says of the family: The signal recognition particle (SRP) is a universally conserved ribonucleoprotein. It is involved in the co-translational targeting of proteins to membranes. The record is from Ensembl. NCBI's taxonomy places the organism in Eukaryota, Metazoa, Chordata, Mammalia, Primates, Cercopithecidae.